This is a small nuclear RNA of Laticauda laticaudata (blue-ringed sea krait), 86 nucleotides long. Its record names the gene U2. It matches the Rfam family "U2 spliceosomal RNA". From Rfam's summary of the family: U2 is a small nuclear RNA (snRNA) component of the spliceosome (involved in pre-mRNA splicing). Complementary binding between U2 snRNA (in an area lying towards the 5' end but 3' to hairpin I) and the branchpoint sequence (BPS) of the intron results the bulging out of an unpaired adenosine, on the BPS, which initiates a nucleophilic attack at the intronic 5' splice site, thus starting the first of two transesterification reactions that mediate splicing. Lineage: Eukaryota; Metazoa; Chordata; Lepidosauria; Squamata; Elapidae. The record is from Ensembl.
GUUGCUUCUUGGCCUUUUGGCUAGGAUCAAGUGUAAUAGUUGUUCUGUUUCAGACAUAAUUAUAUUCAUUAUUAAUUCCACUGAUU